AGUGAACGCUGGCGGUAGGCCUAACACAUGCAAGUCGAACGGCAGCACAGGAGAGCUUGCUCUCUGGGUGGCGAGUGGCGGACGGGUGAGGAAUACAUCGGAAUCUACUUUUUCGUGGGGGAUAACGUAGGGAAACUUACGCUAAUACCGCAUACGACCUACGGGUGAAAGCAGGGGAUCCUCGGACCUUGCGCGAUUGAAUGAGCCGAUGUCGGAUUAGCUAGUUGGCGGGGUAAAGGCCCACCAAGGCGACGAUCCGUAGCUGGUCUGAGAGGAUGACCAGCCACACUGGAACUGAGACACGGUCCAGACUCCUACGGGAGGCAGCAGUGGGGAAUAUUGGACAAUGGGCGCAGGCCUGAUCCAGCCAUACCGCGUGGGUGAAGAAGGCCUUCGGGUUGUAAAGCCCUUUUGUUGGGAAAGAAAUCCAGCUGGUUAAUACCCGGUUGGGAUGACGGUACCCAAAGAAUAAGCACCGGCUAACUUCGUGCCAGCCGCCGCGGUAA
RNAcentral lists this ribosomal RNA (506 nucleotides) under uncultured bacterium. Its description in RNAcentral is "partial 16S ribosomal RNA". It matches the Rfam family "Bacterial small subunit ribosomal RNA", at positions 29 to 523 of the family's 1533-position model. The record is from RNAcentral.